Molecule: long non-coding RNA, 614 nt
Filed under: Gossypium barbadense (sea-island cotton)
Lineage: Eukaryota; Viridiplantae; Streptophyta; Magnoliopsida; Malvales; Malvaceae
Description: long non-coding RNA (GBAR_LNC006770)
Source: RNAcentral
CAAAAACUCCUUCCAAAAAAAUUAGUUCCCUCAACACUAUUAUAGAUAGUUUGUUUUCGUCACCUUUGUUAGUGCCUGUUUUAAUGUCAUGUACAACUUGAAAAAAAGCUAACAAAGUUAAAACUUAUCAUAUUUAAAUUGACUUAUUGUUUAUGAAAUUUAUUUGGAGUUUAUGUUGGUGAAUUGAACUCGUUAUUGAAAUCAAUUGAGCUAAAAUCAAGACAAAUAAAAAUUGGAUUGAAGACUUUUAAUAUAAUCUAAGUUUCCUUAAAAAAGAAGAUACCAAGAAGAUUUCCGCUAUUAUGUAAACUAUUGAAGAUUUGUUUUUGUGGUUAUUUUAGUGAAAUUUAAGUAAUUGUAAUUGAUUGUAACUUGUUCAUAUUAGCUCUUAUAUAUAUAUAUAUAUAUGCUGUAUGCACUAACUACUUAGGUUAAAGAGACAAAUGGGAGUACACUCUUGUUUUGCUAUUAUGUAAACUAUUGAAGAUUUGUUUUUGUGGUUAUUUUAGUGAAAUUUAAGUAAUUGUAAUUGAUUGUAACUUGUUCAUAUUAGCUCUUAUAUAUAUAUAUAUAUGCUGUAUGCACUAACUACUUAGGUUAAAGAGACAAAUGGG